RNAcentral lists this ribosomal RNA (484 nucleotides) under uncultured bacterium. RNAcentral describes it as "partial 16S ribosomal RNA". It matches the Rfam family "Bacterial small subunit ribosomal RNA", at positions 30 to 507 of the family's 1533-position model. The record is from RNAcentral.
AUUGAACGCUGGCGGCAGGCCUAACACAUGCAAGUCGAGCGGAUGAAGGGAGCUUGCUCCUGGAUUCAGCGGCGGACGGGUGAGUAAUGCCUAGGAAUCUGCCUGGUAGUGGGGGAUAACGUCCGGAAACGGGCGCUAAUACCGCAUACGUCCUGAGGGAGAAAGUGGGGGAUCUUCGGACCUCACGCUAUCAGAUGAGCCUAGGUCGGAUUAGCUAGUUGGUGGGGUAAAGGCCUACCAAGGCGACGAUCCGUAACUGGUCUGAGAGGAUGAUCAGUCACACUGGAACUGAGACACGGUCCAGACUCCUACGGGAGGCAGCAGUGGGGAAUAUUGGACAAUGGGCGAAAGCCUGAUCCAGCCAUGCCGCGUGUGUGAAGAAGGUCUUCGGAUUGUAAAGCACUUUAAGUUGGGAGGAAGGGCAGUAGGUUAAUACCUUGCUGUUUUGACGCUACCAACAGAAUAAGCACCGGCUAACUUCGUG